RNAcentral lists this ribosomal RNA (465 nucleotides) under uncultured bacterium. RNAcentral's name for it is "partial 16S ribosomal RNA". It matches the Rfam family "Bacterial small subunit ribosomal RNA", at positions 28 to 507 of the family's 1533-position model. The record is from RNAcentral.
GACGAACGCUGGCGGCGUGCUUAACACAUGCAAGUCGAACGGAAAGGCCCUGCUUGCAGGGUACUCGAGUGGCGAACGGGUGAGUAACACGUGGGUGAUCUGCCCUGCACUUCGGGAUAAGCCUGGGAAACUGGGUCUAAUACCGGAUAGGAGCCAUUUUUAGUGUGAUGGUUGGAAAGUUUUUUCGGUGUAGGAUGAGCUCGCGGCCUAUCAGCUUGUUGGUGGGGUAAUGGCCUACCAAGGCGGCGACGGGUAGCCGGCCUGAGAGGGUGGACGGCCACAUUGGGACUGAGAUACGGCCCAGACUCCUACGGGAGGCAGCAGUGGGGAAUGUUGCACAAUGGGCGCAAGCCUGAUGCAGCGACGCCGCGUGGGGGAUGACGGCCUUCGGGUUGUAAACUCCUUUCGCUAGGGACGAAGCUUUUUGUGACGGUACCUAGAUAAGAAGCACCGGCUAACUACGUG